Molecule: long non-coding RNA, 417 nt
Organism: Lycium ferocissimum
Lineage: Eukaryota; Viridiplantae; Streptophyta; Magnoliopsida; Solanales; Solanaceae
Exons: 4
Source: RefSeq, a predicted model, not a curated record
AUAAAAAGAUUGAAUUGAAGGAUGCCAUUUUGCAAGCUCGAAACAAGAAGAACCUAAGUCAAGCUCAACUUGCUAAAAAUAUAAAAGUGAAGCCACAAAUCAUUCAGGAAUAUGAGUCUGGAAAGGCAAUUCCAAGCCAGGAUAUGAUAGAUCUCUAAACUGGAGAAAGCCCUUGGAGAGAAUCUUAAAGAUGCAUACAAAGCUAAAUUGAAGGAGGUUAUCGCUCAAGCUCGAACAAACAAGUUUGUGGCUCAGGCUCAACUCGCUCAAAAGAUGAAAGUGAAGAUGCACAUCAUUCAGGAUUAUGAGAAUGGAAAGACAAUUCCAAACAAAAAGAUGAUCUCUCAACUAGAGAAACUCUUGGAGUGAAACUUCAUCAAUGAAAUUAAUUUUCUCUUUAAAGCUUUUCUUUAAUAA